This 460-nucleotide ribosomal RNA is filed under the name uncultured bacterium. Its description in RNAcentral is "partial 16S ribosomal RNA". It matches the Rfam family "Bacterial small subunit ribosomal RNA", at positions 338 to 795 of the family's 1533-position model. The record is from RNAcentral.
CCUACGGGUGGCAGCAGUGAGGAAUAUUGGUCAAUGGCCGGAAGGCUGAACCAGCCAUGCCGCGUGAAGGUCAGUGCCCUAUGGGCGUUAAACUUCUUUUGUGCGGGAGCAAUAAUGGUCACGUGUGGCCAGACGAGAGUACCGUACGAAUAAGCAUCGGCUAACUCCGUGCCAGCAGCCGCGGUAAUACGGGGGAUGCAAGCGUUAUCCGGAUUUAUUGGGUUUGAAGGGGGCGUAGGCUGUGAGGUAAGUCAGCGGUGAAAUGCCCCCGCUCAACGGGGUGAAGUGCCAUUGAUACUGCCUGGCUGGAAUGCGGAUGCGGUGGGAGGAAUGUGUGGUGUAGCGGUGAAAUGCAUAGAUAUCACACAGAACACCGAUUGCGAAGGCAUCUCACGAAUCCGCGAUUGACGCUGAUGCACGAAAGCGUGGGUAUCAAACAGGAUUAGAUACCCUUGUAGUC